Long non-coding RNA from Melitaea cinxia (Glanville fritillary), 188 nucleotides. RefSeq lists it as uncharacterized. The record is from RefSeq and is a predicted model, not a curated record. The transcript is spliced from 4 exons. Lineage: Eukaryota; Metazoa; Arthropoda; Insecta; Lepidoptera; Nymphalidae.
GCGAUCUUCGCCCUCACAAAUUCUACUUUGUAAGUGACACGAUAGCUCUUUGCGAGCUACAAUGCGAUCUUCGCCCUCACAAUUUCUACUUUUGUGAGACGAUAGCUCUGUGUGAGCUGCAAUGCGAUCUACGCCCUCACAAAUUCUAUUUUAUGAGACGAUAGCUCUGUGCGAGCUGCAAUGCGAUC